This 505-nucleotide ribosomal RNA is filed under the name uncultured bacterium. RNAcentral describes it as "partial 16S ribosomal RNA". It matches the Rfam family "Bacterial small subunit ribosomal RNA", at positions 28 to 507 of the family's 1533-position model. The record is from RNAcentral.
GACGAACGCUGGCGGCGUGCCUAAUACAUGCAAGUAGGACGCACAGUCUAUACCGUAGCUUGCUACACCAUAGGCUGUGAGUUGCGAACGGGUGAGUAACGCGUAGGUAACCUGCCUAUUAGAGGGGGAUAACUAUUGGAAACGAUAGCUAAUACCGCAUAACAGUAUGUAACACAUGUUAGAUGCUUGAAAGAUGCAAUUGCAUCGCUAGUAGAUGGACCUGCGUUGUAUUAGCUAGUAGGUAGGGUAAUGGCCUACCUAGGUGACGAUACAUAGCCGACCUGAGAGGGUGAUCGGCCACACUGGGACUGAGACACGGCCCAGACUCCUACGGGAGGCAGCAGUAGGGAAUCUUCGGCAAUGGGGGGAACCCUGACCGAGCAACGCCGCGUGAGUGAAGAAGGUUUUCGGAUCGUAAAGCUCUGUUGUUAAGGAAGAACGAGUGUGAGAAUGGAAAGUUCAUACUGUGACGGUACUUAACCAGAAAGGGACGGCUAACUACGUG